UUGAACGCUGGCGGCAUGCCUUACACAUGCAAGUCGAACGGUAACAGGUCUUCGGAUGCUGACGAGUGGCGAACGGGUGAGUAAUACAUCGGAACGUGCCUAGUAGUGGGGGAUAACUACUCGAAAGAGUAGCUAAUACCGCAUGAGAUCUACGGAUGAAAGCAGGGGAUCGCAAGACCUUGUGCUACUAGAGCGGCUGAUGGCAGAUUAGGUAGUUGGUGGGAUAAAAGCUUACCAAGCCGACGAUCUGUAGCUGGUCUGAGAGGACGAUCAGCCACACUGGGACUGAGACACGGCCCAGACUCCUACGGGAGGCAGCAGUGGGGAAUUUUGGACAAUGGGCGAAAGCCUGAUCCAGCAAUGCCGCGUGCAGGAUGAAGGCCUUCGGGUUGUAAACUGCUUUUGUACGGAACGAAAAGCUUUGGGUUAAUACCCUGGAGUCAUGACGGUACCGUAAGAAUAAGCACCGGCUAACUACGU
This 480-nucleotide ribosomal RNA is filed under the name uncultured bacterium. RNAcentral's name for it is "bacterial SSU rRNA". It matches the Rfam family "Bacterial small subunit ribosomal RNA", at positions 30 to 506 of the family's 1533-position model. The record is from RNAcentral.